This is a non-coding RNA of Vicia faba (fava bean), 219 nucleotides long. Lineage: Eukaryota; Viridiplantae; Streptophyta; Magnoliopsida; Fabales; Fabaceae. The record is from the annotation of a GenBank genome assembly.
AUGAAAGUAUGGAAUCAAUUUGGAGAGGGAAGAUUUGGUUUUGUUGAGAGGUUUCUUAGAUCGGUUUUGGUGGAAUGUUGCUUCGAAGAAGAUGAUGUAGUAAGGUGGUUUAUAUGUGGAUCUAUAGAAAAAGAUAGAAAUGUGAUGAAAUCCGAAGUUGUAGUCUCGCAGUGGUGGGGGAGUUUCAGAUUGUGGAAAGAUAUGAGGAGAAGGUGGUGA